Triticum aestivum (bread wheat) is the source of this 135-nucleotide non-coding RNA. Lineage: Eukaryota; Viridiplantae; Streptophyta; Magnoliopsida; Poales; Poaceae. The record is from Rfam.
AAACUACUCCAUCCGUCCCAAAAUUCUUGUCUUAGAUUUGUCUAGAUAUGGAUGAAUCUAAUACUAAAACAUGACUUGAUACAUCCGUAUUUAGACAAAUUUAAGACAAUAAUUUUGGGAUGGAGGGAGUACAUA